This 1395-nucleotide ribosomal RNA is filed under the name metagenome. RNAcentral describes it as "bacterial SSU rRNA". It matches the Rfam family "Bacterial small subunit ribosomal RNA", at positions 36 to 1375 of the family's 1533-position model. The record is from RNAcentral.
CUGGCGGCAUGCUUAACACAUGUAAGUUGAACGAAGCCAUCUCUACUUGUAGAGAAUGGACUGAGUAGCGGACGGGUGCGUAACGCGUGAAAAUCUACCUUUAGGACAAGCAUAACCCCUGGAAACGGGGGCUAAUACUUGAUAUGCUGAGAAGUUAAAUAGAAAUUAUCUGCCUAAAGAGGAGUUCGCGUCUGAUUAGCUAGUUGGUGAGGUAAAGGCUUACCAAGGCGACAAUCAGUAGUUGGUUUGAGAGGAUGACCAGCCACACUGGGACUGAGAUACGGCCCAGGGUCCUACGGGAAACAACAGUGAGGAAUCUUCCGCAAUGGGCGAAAGCCUGACGGAGCAAUGCCGCGUGGAGGAAGAAGGUCUGCGGAUCGUAAACUUCUUUUCUUGAGGAAGAUAAUGACGGUACUCAAGGAAUAAGCACCCGCAAAAUAUGUGCCAGCAGCGGCGGUAAUACAUAUGGUGCAAGCGUUAUCCGGAAUGAUUGGGCGUAAAACGUCUGUAGGUGGUUUUGAAAGUCCAUUGUUAAAUCGUAAGGCUUAACCUUAUAAAGGCAAUGGAAACUUCUUAACUAGAGUGGGGUAGAGGUAGAGGGAAUUACUGGAGGAACGGUGAAAUGUGCAGAUACUAGUAAGAACACCAAAAGCGAAAGCACUCUACUGGGCCCAUACUGACACUCAGAGACGAAAGCUAGGGGAGCCAAUGGGAUUAGAUACCCCAGUCGUCCUAGCUGUAAACGAUGGCGAUUAAGUGUUGGUAUUCCAACCAGGGCUGAAGUUAACGCGUUAAAUCGCCUGCCUGGGAACUAUGCUCGCAAGAGUAAAACUCAAAGAAAUUGACGGGGGCUCGCACAAGCAGUGGAUGAUGUGGUUUAAUUCGAUCAACGCGAAGAACCUUACCGGGGAUUGACAUCCUACAUAACUAAUCUGGAAACAGUAAAAUCUAGUGUAGAAUACAGGUGGUGCAUGGCUGUCGUCAGCUCGUGUCGUGAGACGUAUGGUUAAGUCCUAUAACGAGCGCAACCCUUAUGAUUAGUUACUUUCGCUGACCUUUGUAGAUUUAAACGAGAAGGUGACGUUAGUUUUUUACUUCAUUUUAUGAAGUAGGAUUCAAAUUGAUCCUUUUUCAACUUAGAUUUGUCAGAUGAAAAAGUAAUCAGACUGCCAGUGCUAAACUGGAGGAAGGUGGGGAUGACGUCAAGUCAGCAUGCCCCUUAUAUCCCGGGCUACACACGUCAUACAAUGGCUCAAGACAAAGAGAGGCUACCUUGCAAAAGCACGCAAAUCUCAAAAACUUGGUCUUAGUUCGGAUUGUAGGCUGCAACUCGCCUACAUGAAGCCGGAAUUGCUAGUAAUCGCAGGUCAGCUAUACUGCGGUGAAUACGUUCUC